GAUGAACGCUGGCGGCGUGCCUAAUACAUGCAAGUAGAACGCUGAAGGAGGAGCUUGCUCUUCUGGAUGAGUUGCGAACGGGUGAGUAACGCGUAGGUAACCUGCCUGGUAGCGGGGGAUAACUAUUGGAAACGAUAGCUAAUACCGCAUGACAACAGUUAUUGCAUGAUAACUGUUUAAAAGGGGCAACUGCUCCACUACCAGAUGGACCUGCGUUGUAUUAGCUAGUUGGUGAGGUAACGGCUCACCAAGGCGACGAUACAUAGCCGACCUGAGAGGGGGAUCGGCCACACUGGGACUGGGACCCGGCCCAGACUCCUACGGGAGGCAGCAGUAGGGGAUCUUCGGCAAUGGACGGAAGUCUGACCGAGCAACGCCGCGUGAGUGAAGAAGGGUUUCGGAUCGGAAAGCUCUGUUGUAAGAGAAGAACGAGUGUGAGAGUGGAAAGUUCACACUGUGACGGUAUCUUACCAGAAAGGGACGGCUAACUACGUG
This 495-nucleotide ribosomal RNA is filed under the name uncultured bacterium. RNAcentral describes it as "partial 16S ribosomal RNA". It matches the Rfam family "Bacterial small subunit ribosomal RNA", at positions 28 to 507 of the family's 1533-position model. The record is from RNAcentral.